AGAGUUUGAUCCUGGCUCAGGAUGAACGCUAGCGGCAGGCUUAACACAUGCAAGUCGAAGGGCAACGGGGAGAGUGCUUGCACUCUCUGCCGGCGACUGGCGCACGGGUGAGUAACACGUAUGCAACCUGCCCUCCACAGGGGGACAACCUUCCGAAAGGGAGGCUAAUCCCGCGUAUAUCCCUUGGGGGCAUCCUUGGGGGAGGAAAGGAUUACCGGUGGAGGAUGGGCAUGCGGCGCAUUAGGCAGUAGGCGGGGUAACGGCCCACCUAACCGACGAUGCGUAGGGGUUCUGAGAGGAAGGUCCCCCACACUGGUACUGAGACACGGACCAGACUCCUACGGGAGGCAGCAGUGAGGAAUAUUGGUCAAUGGGCGAGAGCCUGAACCAGCCAAGUCGCGUGAGGGAAGACGGUCCUAUGGAUUGUAAACCUCUUUUGCCGGGGAGCAAAAAGCGGUACGCGUACCGCAUCGAGAGUACCCGGAGAAAAAGCAUCGGCUAACUCCGUGCCAGCAGCCGCGGUAAUACGGAGGAUGCGAGCGUUAUCCGGAUUUAUUGGGUUUAAAGGGGGCGCAGGCGGCGAGUUAAGUCAGCGGUAAAAUUUCGG
Molecule: ribosomal RNA, 607 nt
Filed under: uncultured bacterium
Lineage: Bacteria
Description: bacterial SSU rRNA
Rfam family: Bacterial small subunit ribosomal RNA
Source: RNAcentral